Molecule: ribosomal RNA, 440 nt
Filed under: uncultured bacterium
Lineage: Bacteria
Description: bacterial SSU rRNA
Rfam family: Bacterial small subunit ribosomal RNA
Source: RNAcentral
UGGAAACGACUGCUAAUACCGCAUAAGCCCACGGCUCGGCAUCGAGCAGAGGGAAAAGGAGCAAUCCGCUUUGAGAUGGCCUCGCGUCCGAUUAGCUAGUUGGUGAGGUAAUGGCCCACCAAGGCGACGAUCGGUAGCCGGACUGAGAGGUUGAACGGCCACAUUGGGACUGAGACACGGCCCAGACUCCUACGGGAGGCAGCAGUGGGGAAUAUUGCACAAUGGGGGAAACCCUGAUGCAGCGACGCCGCGUGGAGGAAGAAGGUCUUCGGAUUGUAAACUCCUGUUGUUGAGGAAGAUAAUGACGGUACUCAACAAGGAAGUGACGGCUAACUACGUGCCAGCAGCCGCGGUAAAACGUAGGUCACAAGCGUUGUCCGGAAUUACUGGGUGUAAAGGGAGCGCAGGCGGGAGAACAAGUUGGAAGUGAAAUCCAUGGG